UGGUAGAUGCACCUUGAUCUUUAACUCCCCUGUUUGGCUAAUACACUCUGGGGAGUUUUUCU
This is a non-coding RNA of Hapalosiphon sp. MRB220, 62 nucleotides long. The record is from Rfam. Lineage: Bacteria; Bacillati; Cyanobacteriota; Cyanophyceae; Nostocales; Hapalosiphonaceae.